GAAAUGCGAUAAGUAAUGUGAAUUGCAGAAUUCAGUGAAUCAUCGAAUCUUUGAACGCACCUUGUGCUCCUUGGUAUUUCUUGGAGCAUGCCUGUUUGAGUAUCAUGAAAUCUUCAAAGUAAAUCUUUUGUUAACUCAAUUGGUUUCUACUUUGGUAUUGGAGGUCUUUGCAGCUUCACAUCUGCUCCUCUUUGUUCAUUAGCUGGAUCUCAGUGUUAUGCUUGGUUCCACUCGGCGUGAUAAGUUAUCUAUCGCUGAGGACACUGUAAAAGGUGGCCAAGGUAAAUGCAGAUGAACCGCUUCUAAUAGUCCAUUGACUUGGACAAUACUUUUAUGAUCUGAUCUCAAAUCAGGUAGGACUACCCGCUGAACUUAAGC
This 378-nucleotide unclassified non-coding RNA is filed under the name plant metagenome. RNAcentral describes it as "partial contains 5.8S ribosomal RNA, internal transcribed spacer 2, and large subunit ribosomal RNA". The stretch from base 1 to 105 matches the Rfam family "5.8S ribosomal RNA", at positions 50 to 154 of the family's 154-position model. The record is from RNAcentral.